RNAcentral lists this ribosomal RNA (835 nucleotides) under Burkholderia sp. PBS2-11_Pa. Its description in RNAcentral is "bacterial SSU rRNA". It matches the Rfam family "Bacterial small subunit ribosomal RNA", at positions 59 to 888 of the family's 1533-position model. The record is from RNAcentral. Lineage: Bacteria; Pseudomonadati; Pseudomonadota; Betaproteobacteria; Burkholderiales; Burkholderiaceae.
AAGUCGAACGGCAGCACGGGAGCAAUCCUGGUGGCGAGUGGCGAACGGGUGAGUAAUACAUCGGAACGUGUCCUGGAGUGGGGGAUAGCCCGGCGAAAGCCGGAUUAAUACCGCAUACGCUCUGUGGAGGAAAGCGGGGGAUCUUUCGGGACCUCGCGCUCAAGGGGCGGCCGAUGGCAGAUUAGCUAGUUGGUGGGGUAAAGGCCUACCAAGGCGACGAUCUGUAGCUGGUCUGAGAGGACGACCAGCCACACUGGGACUGAGACACGGCCCAGACUCCUACGGGAGGCAGCAGUGGGGAAUUUUGGACAAUGGGCGCAAGCCUGAUCCAGCAAUGCCGCGUGUGUGAAGAAGGCCUUCGGGUUGUAAAGCACUUUUGUCCGGAAAGAAAACCUCUGGGUUAAUACCCCGGGGGGAUGACGGUACCGGAAGAAUAAGCACCGGCUAACUACGUGCCAGCAGCCGCGGUAAUACGUAGGGUGCGAGCGUUAAUCGGAAUUACUGGGCGUAAAGCGUGCGCAGGCGGUUCGUUAAGACAGAUGUGAAAUCCCCGGGCUUAACCUGGGAACUGCAUUUGUGACUGGCGGGCUAGAGUAUGGCAGAGGGGGGUAGAAUUCCACGUGUAGCAGUGAAAUGCGUAGAGAUGUGGAGGAAUACCGAUGGCGAAGGCAGCCCCCUGGGCCAAUACUGACGCUCAUGCACGAAAGCGUGGGGAGCAAACAGGAUUAGAUACCCUGGUAGUCCACGCCCUAAACGAUGUCAACUAGUUGUUGGGGAUUCAUUUCCUUAGUAACGUAGCUAACGCGUGAAGUUGACCGCCUGGGGAGUACGGCCC